GACAGAGGGUGCAAACGUUGCUCGGAAUUACUGGGCGUAAAGGGCGUGUAGGCGGGAAGGCAAGUCGGGCGUGAAAGCCCCAGGCUCAACCUGGGAACUGCACUCGAAACUGCCUUUCUUGAGUGCCGGAGAGGAAAGCGGAAUUCCUGGUGUAGAGGUGAAAUUCGUAGAUAUCAGGAGGAACACCGGUGGCGAAGGCGG
Molecule: ribosomal RNA, 201 nt
Filed under: uncultured bacterium
Lineage: Bacteria
Description: partial 16S ribosomal RNA
Rfam family: Bacterial small subunit ribosomal RNA
Source: RNAcentral